CCCUCAGUUUUUCCCUUGCCUCCCUUGCCGUUGAUCUCCUCUCUACCAUCAGCAGUAGCACCGUUGCCCGUGUCUUUGUGAUGCUGCAAUGAGCCCUUUGAGAGGACCGUCCGUUCCGGCAUUCGACUCUCUCGCAACGAAUCCUCUUCCCUUGAAUGAUCUUUCUUGUCAUCUCCAGGAACACCAAUUGAACCUCCUCCGUUUCGAGAAUUAUGUUCUCAUAUUUAAUCCUUCGAAGCCUAUAAUAAGCAUAAUCAACAAUUCACCCUGAUCAAUGGAAGAUCUGUGGUACCUAACGCCUUAACUCUGUGGAACUGUUUUAUAGGAAUAGCAGGGGAGAUAAAGGGGAGACCGAACCUUGAAAUCGUCGGAUCCAUGGAUGAUUCGUUGAAGCCUCACC
Molecule: long non-coding RNA, 400 nt
Filed under: Triticum aestivum (bread wheat)
Lineage: Eukaryota; Viridiplantae; Streptophyta; Magnoliopsida; Poales; Poaceae
Description: long non-coding RNA (TAES_LNC024882)
Source: RNAcentral